RNAcentral lists this ribosomal RNA (2628 nucleotides) under Staphylococcus aureus. RNAcentral's name for it is "partial 23S ribosomal RNA". It matches the Rfam family "Bacterial large subunit ribosomal RNA", at positions 101 to 2727 of the family's 2925-position model. Lineage: Bacteria; Bacillati; Bacillota; Bacilli; Caryophanales; Staphylococcaceae. The record is from RNAcentral.
GAUCCAGAGAUUUCCGAAUGGGGAAACCCAGCAUGAGUUAUGUCAUGUUAUCGAUAUGUGAAUACAUAGCAUAUCAGAAGGCACACCCGGAGAACUGAAACAUCUUAGUACCCGGAGGAAGAGAAAGAAAAUUCGAUUCCCUUAGUAGCGGCGAGCGAAAUGGGAAGAGCCCAAACCAACAAGCUUGCUUGUUGGGGUUGUAGGACACUCUAUACGGAGUUACAAAGGACGACAUUAGACGAAUCAUCUGGAAAGAUGAAUCAAAGAAGGUAAUAAUCCUGUAGUCGAAAAUGUUGUCUCUCUUGAGUGGAUCCUGAGUACGACGGAGCACGUGAAAUUCCGUCGGAAUCUGGGAGGACCAUCUCCUAAGGCUAAAUACUCUCUAGUGACCGAUAGUGAACCAGUACCGUGAGGGAAAGGUGAAAAGCACCCCGGAAGGGGAGUGAAAUAGAACCUGAAACCGUGUGCUUACAAGUAGUCAGAGCCCGUUAAUGGGUGAUGGCGUGCCUUUUGUAGAAUGAACCGGCGAGUUACGAUUUGAUGCAAGGUUAAGCAGUAAAUGUGGAGCCGUAGCGAAAGCGAGUCUGAAUAGGGCGUUUAGUAUUUGGUCGUAGACCCGAAACCAGGUGAUCUACCCUUGGUCAGGUUGAAGUUCAGGUAACACUGAAUGGAGGACCGAACCGACUUACGUUGAAAAGUGAGCGGAUGAACUGAGGGUAGCGGAGAAAUUCCAAUCGAACCUGGAGAUAGCUGGUUCUCUCCGAAAUAGCUUUAGGGCUAGCCUCAAGUGAUGAUUAUUGGAGGUAGAGCACUGUUUGGACGAGGGGCCCCUCUCGGGUUACCGAAUUCAGACAAACUCCGAAUGCCAAUUAAUUUAACUUGGGAGUCAGAACAUGGGUGAUAAGGUCCGUGUUCGAAAGGGAAACAGCCCAGACCACCAGCUAAGGUCCCAAAAUAUAUGUUAAGUGGAAAAGGAUGUGGCGUUGCCCAGACAACUAGGAUGUUGGCUUAGAAGCAGCCAUCAUUUAAAGAGUGCGUAAUAGCUCACUAGUCGAGUGACACUGCGCCGAAAAUGUACCGGGGCUAAACAUAUUACCGAAGCUGUGGAUUGUCCUUUGGACAAUGGUAGGAGAGCGUUCUAAGGGCGUUGAAGCAUGAUCGUAAGGACAUGUGGAGCGCUUAGAAGUGAGAAUGCCGGUGUGAGUAGCGAAAGACGGGUGAGAAUCCCGUCCACCGAUUGACUAAGGUUUCCAGAGGAAGGCUCGUCCGCUCUGGGUUAGUCGGGUCCUAAGCUGAGGCCGACAGGCGUAGGCGAUGGAUAACAGGUUGAUAUUCCUGUACCACCUAUAAUCGUUUUAAUCGAUGGGGGGACGCAGUAGGAUAGGCGAAGCGUGCGAUUGGAUUGCACGUCUAAGCAGUAAGGCUGAGUAUUAGGCAAAUCCGGUACUCGUUAAGGCUGAGCUGUGAUGGGGAGAAGACAUUGUGUCUUCGAGUCGUUGAUUUCACACUGCCGAGAAAAGCCUCUAGAUAGAAAAUAGGUGCCCGUACCGCAAACCGACACAGGUAGUCAAGAUGAGAAUUCUAAGGUGAGCGAGCGAACUCUCGUUAAGGAACUCGGCAAAAUGACCCCGUAACUUCGGGAGAAGGGGUGCUCUUUAGGGUUAACGCCCAGAAGAGCCGCAGUGAAUAGGCCCAAGCGACUGUUUAUCAAAAACACAGGUCUCUGCUAAACCGUAAGGUGAUGUAUAGGGGCUGACGCCUGCCCGGUGCUGGAAGGUUAAGAGGAGUGGUUAGCUUCUGCGAAGCUACGAAUCGAAGCCCCAGUAAACGGCGGCCGUAACUAUAACGGUCCUAAGGUAGCGAAAUUCCUUGUCGGGUAAGUUCCGACCCGCACGAAAGGCGUAACGAUUUGGGCACUGUCUCAACGAGAGACUCGGUGAAAUCAUAGUACCUGUGAAGAUGCAGGUUACCCGCGACAGGACGGAAAGACCCCGUGGAGCUUUACUGUAGCCUGAUAUUGAAAUUCGGCACAGCUUGUACAGGAUAGGUAGGAGCCUUUGAAACGUGAGCGCUAGCUUACGUGGAGGCGCUGGUGGGAUACUACCCUAGCUGUGUUGGCUUUCUAACCCGCACCACUUAUCGUGGUGGGAGACAGUGUCAGGCGGGCAGUUUGACUGGGGCGGUCGCCUCCUAAAAGGUAACGGAGGCGCUCAAAGGUUCCCUCAGAAUGGUUGGAAAUCAUUCAUAGAGUGUAAAGGCAUAAGGGAGCUUGACUGCGAGACCUACAAGUCGAGCAGGGUCGAAAGACGGACUUAGUGAUCCGGUGGUUCCGCAUGGAAGGGCCAUCGCUCAACGGAUAAAAGCUACCCCGGGGAUAACAGGCUUAUCUCCCCCAAGAGUUCACAUCGACGGGGAGGUUUGGCACCUCGAUGUCGGCUCAUCGCAUCCUGGGGCUGUAGUCGGUCCCAAGGGUUGGGCUGUUCGCCCAUUAAAGCGGUACGCGAGCUGGGUUCAGAACGUCGUGAGACAGUUCGGUCCCUAUCCGUCGUGGGCGUAGGAAAUUUGAGAGGAGCUGUCCUUAGUACGAGAGGACCGGGAUGGACAUACCUCUGGUGUACCAGUUGUCGU